GACGAACGCUGGCGGCGUGCUUAACACAUGCAAGUCGAACGGAAAGGCCCCUUUGGGGGUACUCGAGUGGCGAACGGGUGAGUAACACGUGAGUAACCUGCCCUUGACUUCGGGAUAACUUCAGGAAACUGGGGCUAAUACCGGAUAGGAAUCCUUGCUGCAUGGUGGGGGUUGGAAAGCUUCGGCGGUUUUGGAUGGACUCGCGGCUUAUCAGCUUGUUGGUGGGGUAGUGGCUUACCAAGGCUUUGACGGGUAGCCGGCCUGAGAGGGCGACCGGCCACAUUGGGACUGGGAUACGGCCCCGACUCCUACGGGAGGCAGCAGUGGCGAAGAUUGCACAAUGGGCGGGAGCCUGAUGCAGCAACGCCGCGUGCGGGAUGACGGCCUUCGGGUUGUAAUCCGCUUUCAGCAGGGGCGAAGCUUGUGGUGACGGUACCUGCAGAAGAAGCACCGGCUAACUACGUG
RNAcentral lists this ribosomal RNA (465 nucleotides) under uncultured bacterium. RNAcentral's name for it is "partial 16S ribosomal RNA". It matches the Rfam family "Bacterial small subunit ribosomal RNA", at positions 28 to 507 of the family's 1533-position model. The record is from RNAcentral.